CGAGGACGAACGCUGGCGGCGUGCUUAACACAUGCAAGUCGAACGGUGACCCAGGGCUUGCCCUGGUGAUCAGUGGCGAACGGGUGAGUAACACGUGGGCAACCUGCCCCUGACUUCGGGAUAACUCCUCGAAAGAGGAGCUAAUACCGGAUACGACCACUUCGGACAUCCGAUGGUGGUGGAAAGUUUUUCGGUCAGGGAUGGGCCCGCGGCCUAUCAGCUAGUUGGUGGGGUAAUGGCCUACCAAGGCGACGACGGGUAGCCGGCCUGAGAGGGCGACCGGCCACACUGGGACUGAGACACGGCCCAGACUCCUACGGGAGGCAGCAGUGGGGAAUAUUGCGCAAUGGCGAAAGCCUGACGCAGCGACGCCGCGUGAGGGAUGAAGGCCUUCGGGUUGUAAACCUCUUUCAGCAGGGACGAAGCGAAAGUGACGGUACCUGCAGAAGAAGCACCGGCUAACUACGUG
RNAcentral lists this ribosomal RNA (469 nucleotides) under uncultured bacterium. Its description in RNAcentral is "bacterial SSU rRNA". It matches the Rfam family "Bacterial small subunit ribosomal RNA", at positions 26 to 507 of the family's 1533-position model. The record is from RNAcentral.